CACCCGUUCCCAUCCCGAACACGGAAGUUAAGCUCUUCAGCGCCGAUGGUACUGCAUGGGCGACUGUGUGGGAGAGUAGGGCGCUGCCGAAA
This 92-nucleotide ribosomal RNA is filed under the name Candidatus Desulfaltia bathyphila. Lineage: Bacteria; Pseudomonadati; Thermodesulfobacteriota; Desulfobacteria; Desulfobacterales. The record is from RNAcentral.